AGUGGAUGGGGAGCAACCUAGUUGUGCGUGUGUAAAGGUAGUGCCAAGAAAAGCGGUGAUCAUGAUGAAAAUCAAUUCCCGGUACCCGAAACCGACACAGGUGGGCAAGUAGAGAAUACUAAGGGGCGCGAGGUAACUCUCUCCAAGGAACUCGGCAAAAUGACCCCGUAACUUAGGGAGAAGGGGUGCCACCGAGAGGUGGUCGCAGUGAAGAGGCCCAGGCGACUGUUUAGCAAAAACAUAGGUCUCUGCAAACUCGAAAGAGGAGGUAUAGGGGCUGACGCCUGCCCAGUGCCGGAAGGUUAAAGAAGUUGGUCAGUCUUAGGAUAAAGCUAGCGACUGAAGCCCCGGUGAACGGCGGCCGUAACUAUAACGGUCCUAAGGUAGCGAAAUUCCUUGUCGGGUAAGUUCCGACCCGCACGAAAGGCGUAACGAUCUGGGCGCUGUCUCGGAGAGAGGCUCGGCGAAAUAGGAUUGUCUGUGAAGAUACGGACUACCUGCAUUUGGACAGAAAGACCCUAUGAAGCUUUACUAUAGCUUGGAAUUGUGUUCGGGCUUCCUGUGCGCAGGAUAGGUGGGAGGCGAAGAAGGUAUUCUUGUGGGGAUACUGGAGCCAACGGUGAGAUACCACUCUCAGGAGGCUAGAAUUCUAACUUAAUUAAGGACAGCUUCAGGUGGGUAGUUUGACUGGGGCGGUCGCCUCCAAAAAGGUAACGGAGGCGUACAAAGGUUCCCUCAGACUGGUUGGAAAUCAGUCGCAGAGUGCAAAGGCAGAAGGGAGCUUGACUGCGAGAAGUACAGUUCGAGCAGGGUGGAAACACGGUCUUAGUGAUCCGACGGUGCUGUGUGGAAGGGCCGUCGCUCAACGGAUAAAAGUUACUCUAGGAUAACAGGCUGAUCUCCCCCAAGAGUUCACAUCGACGGGGAGGUUUGGCACCUCGAUGUCGGCUCAUCGCAACCUGGGGCGGAAGUACGUCCCAAGGGUUGGGCUGUUCGCCCAUUAAAGCGGUACGUGAGCUGGGUUCAGAACGUCGUGAGACAGUUCGGUCCAUAUCCGAUGUAGGCGUGAGAAUAUUGAGAGGAGCCUUCCUUAGUACGAGAGGACCGGGAAGGACGCACCGCUGGUGUACCUGUUAUGAUGCCAAUUGUAAACGCAGGGUAGCCAAGUGCGGAGAGGAUAACCGCUGAAAGCAUCUAAGUGGGAAGCCCACCUCAAGAUGAGUAUUCUGGUGUAAGGUCACGGGAAGACGACCCGUAAAUAGGCACGAGGUGGAAGUGCAGAGAUGUAUGAAGCCGAAGUGUACUAAUAGACCGUCGGCUUGACC
This 1325-nucleotide ribosomal RNA is filed under the name metagenome. RNAcentral describes it as "bacterial LSU rRNA". It matches the Rfam family "Bacterial large subunit ribosomal RNA", at positions 1561 to 2925 of the family's 2925-position model. The record is from RNAcentral.